This 1307-nucleotide long non-coding RNA is filed under the name Homo sapiens (human). Its description in RNAcentral is "non-protein coding lnc-NCAPG2-2:2". The record is from RNAcentral. Lineage: Eukaryota; Metazoa; Chordata; Mammalia; Primates; Hominidae.
GGGGAUGAAACAAUAAAGACCGGAAGCUGAGUUUUUAUCCAUUUCCUCUACAUGACAAAGAAAGACUGGAAAAGUGGUUAAACAAUAUGAAGCGAGAUUCAUGGGUUCCCAGUAAAUACCAGUUUCUGUGUAGUGACCAUUUUACUCCUGACUCUCUUGACAUCAGAUGGGGUAUUCGAUAUUUAAAACAAAGUGCAGUUCCAACAAUAUUUUCUUUGCCUGAAGACAAUCAGGGAAAAGACCCUUCUAAAAAAAAAUCCCAGAAGAAAAACUUGGAAGAUGAGAAGUAUGCCCAAAAGCCAAGUCAGAAGAAUCAGUUGUAUUAAAUGAGACAAAGAAAAAUAUAGUUAACACAAAUGUGCUCCCUCAACAUCCAGAAUUACUUCAUUCAUCUUCCUUGGUAAAGCCACCAGCUCCCAAAACAGGAAGUAUACAAAAUAACAUGUUAACUCUUAAUCUAGUUAAACAACAUACUGGGAAACCAGAAUCUACCUUGGAAACAUCAGUUAACCAAGAUACAGGUGUAGGUGGUUUUCACACAUGUUUUUAUAAUCUAAAUUCUACAACUAUUACUUUGACAAUUUCAAAUUCAGAAAGUAUUCAUCAAUCUUUGGAAACCCAAGAAGUUCUUGAAGUAACUUCUAGUUAUCUUGCUAAUCCAAACUUUACAAGUAAUUCCAUGGAAAUAAAGUCAGCACAGGAAAAUCCAUUCUUAUUCAGCACAAUUAAGCAAACAGUUGAAGAAUUAAACACAAAUAAAGAAUCUGUUAUUGCCAUUUUUGUACCUGCCAAAAAUUCUAAACUUUCAGUUAAUUCUUUUAUAUCUGCACAAAAAGAAACCACGGAAGUGGAAGACAUAGACAUCGAAGACUCCUUGUAUAAGGAUGUAGACUAUGGGACAGAAGUUUUACAAAUAGAACAUUCUUACUGCAGACAAGAUAUAAAUAAGGAGCAUCUUUGGCAGAAAGUCUCUAAGCUACAUUCAAAGAUAACUCUUCUAGAGUUCAAAGAGCAACAAACUCUAGGUAGAUUGAAGUCUUUGGAAGCUCUUAUAAGGCAGCUAAAGCAGGAAAACUGGCUAUCUGAAGAAAAUGUCAAGAUCAUAGAAAACCGUUUUACAACAUAUGAAGUCACUAUGAUAUAGAAUAACUAGGUUUUAAAACUAUGGCUGUUAAAUAAGCUUUUUCCAGCCAAACCAAACUACAUGUAAAGUGAACUUUUUCCUGUAUAAAGUUCUCAUCUUAAUGAACCUAUGAGAGUGUUGUGAAGUUAUGAACUGUAUCCUAUUCUUGUAAUGCUCAUUUAAG